UACAGAGGUCUCAAGCGUUGUUCGGAUUCAUUGGGCGUAAAGGGUGCGUAGGCGGGUCUUUAAGUCAGGGGUGAAAUCCUGGAGCUCAACUCCAGAACUGCCUUUGAUACUGAAGAUCUUGAGUUCGGGAGAGGUGAGUGGAACUGCGAGUGUAGAGGUGAAAUUCGUAGAUAUUCGCAAGAACACCAGUGGCGAAGGCGGCUCACUGGCCCGAUACUGACACUGAGGCACGAAAGCGUGGGGAGCAAACAGG
RNAcentral lists this ribosomal RNA (253 nucleotides) under uncultured bacterium. Its description in RNAcentral is "partial 16S ribosomal RNA". It matches the Rfam family "Bacterial small subunit ribosomal RNA", at positions 524 to 776 of the family's 1533-position model. The record is from RNAcentral.